GUAAUUAAUAUGACCCUCUACUUCUAUUUUUGGUUUGUAAAAAUGUACUGGAGUCUCAAAGUUGAAUUUUGUGGUAAAAAUAAAGUCCCAAGUAACCUUACUUUCAACUUUCCAUAAAUUCACCAAACAUAUUGAAGAUUACUGGACCAUAUUCCAGAUACCAUCACAAUUUCUAUUAAUGAAAAUGCAUAGAGCUUUAGAUAAGUAAGGAUUAGAUAAGUAGGUGAAAGUUGCUCUCUUAUACAUGAAAGGCAAUUUAACAUACUCAUACACUACCUUUACACAGCAAAAGUAGUCUAGAAGUAAAAAAUAGCAAAGUAAAGUAAAAAAAAAGUUCUUAUUCUUCUGAAAUAUUUUAUCUACCUACUGCAAUGAUACUAUUUACUAUCAUAUUGCAUUAUAAAUUGAUUUAACAGUUUAUCCUAACCACUCAAAAGCAGUUCUGGAUUCUGGCCAUGUAAUUGCAUGUGUGCUCAUAUCAGUGAUUCUAGUUUGCAGUAGUGGUAGUAAGAAUAGAACUGGCACAAGUGCAUAAAUGCUCAUAUGCUUUUUGGAUGAAUAGAGCAAGUCCUACUUCUAUAUUCACAAUUAAUUAUAUAAAUAGGAAUGAACAAUCACAUAUGAAUAUGAAUGCAAAGGGUUAAAAAUUACAGAAUUCUUUAACCAACUUAUGCAUAAAAAAUUGUGAAAUCGUAUUAGGUAAUUGGCAGUGCGACCUUAAGCCUACUUUCUUCUACUACCAAGGAAAAUCUAGCUGAUAUAAUGGAGCUUAUUUUGAAUCAAUACGCACAGGAUGACACUUCAAGGAUCAACUCAAGAAAGCAUCACCGUGGGUGAAUAAUGCUUAAAAUUUGCACAUGUGGCAAGAAAGUACCAUUUAUCAUAUGCAACUACCAACAUUCUUGCGGCAGGUUAUGACAAGCUAUGCUAAAGAUCCUACUUUUUACCUGUUAAUGGAUCUUUGGUAGACAAAAAUAUCAAGGAUAUAAGAAUGGGAAAGACACUUUGAUGUAGUGGUCUGGAAACCAGGAAAACUGUGCUUUCGACUUGUGCCUGAGAGCCAGGGUUGGCAUGACCUACGCAUGAUGCAUCCAGCCUGCGGGCUACCAGUUUGACACCCUGCCUUAGUCUUCUUGGAGGAUGAUAAAUUCCUGGCUCUUCACCCACGUAUUCAGCUGGAAUGGAAGUGAGCCUAGCUCAUUAAAAUUGGUUGGAAAUUGUGGCACUAUGGUGGGGUUAAAUAGACCAACACUUCAACUUUAGCAGCCAAUUGCCAGUCAUUUGUGGCUGCUUCAACGAAGAAAUGGUUGCAGUGUUGCAGUGGGCUUGUGCAAUUUAAUUAUGUUUAAGAUGGCUGGAAUUUUAUAAUACUGCCACCCAGGAAUAAGCUUUCUUUAACAAAUUUUAAAAAUCUCAAACCUGAAUUUUAGCAUUGCAGUGUACAGGUAGCAAUUUAUCCAAAUAUUCUGUACAAAAAGUUUUUGAAUAUAGAUUUUUUAUUGAUUAGGAAAAAGGAUGGUGUAACUUGUGGCAAAUACAUGUAAAAUGCUGUAAUCCAAUACAGACUUCUGACAUACAGUCUCAGAAGAAGGCCCAUCAAAUCUAAGGUGGCUCAAGUUUACGGAGAGAAACAACUUUUUCAAUUUGAAAAUUUCAGUUUUUAGGUAGAUAGGCAGAGUGACAAAUAUUGUACUAUAUGCAGUUUUUGACUUUAUGUUAAUAAAUUUAGUGUUUGUACAUCUACUUUAUUUUUGGCUGUAAUAAAUGGAAUAUGAAACUUUUCCUGGAAUUGUGAUGAAAAACCUUCUCUAUCCCUGGGGUAAAAAAUGAAAUAAAUGUAAACCUGAUCUACCCUAUUCCAUUCACACACUAUUUAGAUAUCUUGCUUGGUUGGAGUAUCAUUUAGAGCUCCAGAAAGAGAAGAGUACCAGAGAAGCAGAGAGGAUAGGA
Ahaetulla prasina is the source of this 1950-nucleotide long non-coding RNA. RefSeq lists it as uncharacterized. Lineage: Eukaryota; Metazoa; Chordata; Lepidosauria; Squamata; Colubridae. The transcript is spliced from 4 exons. The record is from RefSeq and is a predicted model, not a curated record.